Acanthosepion pharaonis is the source of this 109-nucleotide non-coding RNA. NCBI's taxonomy places the organism in Eukaryota, Metazoa, Mollusca, Cephalopoda, Sepiida, Sepiidae. The record is from the annotation of a GenBank genome assembly.
AAUGGCCAUAUCACCCUGAAACACCGGUUCCCGUACGAUCACCGAAGUUAGGCAACGUCGGGCCUGAUCAGUACCUAGAUGGAUGGCCGCUUGGAUGUGCGGGUAGUGU